CGAAGCGGAUCACAUAUCCAGCUUGCUGGAUGCUGACGAGCGGCGGACGGGUGAUUAAUGCAUGGGAAUCCGCCCUAUAGGGGGGGAUAACCUGGGGAAACCCGGGCUAAUACCGCAUACUUCCUACGGAAAAAAGGGGGCUUCGGCUCCCGCUAUCGGAUGACCCUAUGUCGGAUUACCUAGUUGGUGAGGUAAAGGCUCACCAGGGCAACGAUCCGUAGCGGGUCUGAAAGGAUGAUCACCCACAUCGGGACUGAAACCCGGCCCAAACUCCUACGGGAGGCACCAGUGGGGAAUAUUGAACAAGGGGGGCAACCCUGAUCCACCCAUGCCGCGUGUGUGAAAAAGGCCCUCGGGUUGUAAAGCUUUUUCACCGAGGAAAAACGCCUAGGGGUUAAUACCCGCUAGGAAAAACUUCACUCGCAAAAAAAGCACCGGCUAACUCCGUGCCAGCACCCGCGGUAAUACGGAGGGUGCAAGCGUUAAUCGGAAUUACUGGGCGUAAAGCGCGCGUAGGUGGCUUGAUAAGCCGGUUGUGAAAGCCCCGGGCUCAACCUGGGAACGGCAUCCGGAACUGUCAAGCUAGAGUGCAGGAGAGGAGGGUAGAAUUCCCGGUGUAGCGGUGAAAUGCGUAGAGAUCGAGGAGGAAUACCAGUGGCGAGGGCGGCCUUCUGGACUGACACUGACACUGAGGUGCGAAAGCGUGGGUAGCAAACAGGAUUAGAUACACUGGUAGUCCACGCCGUAAACGAUGUCGACCAGCCGUUGGUGCCUAGCGCACUUUGUGGCGAAGUCACUCGAUAAUUCGACCGCCUGGUGAGUACGGCCGCAAGGUUAAAACUCAAUGAGUGACGG
RNAcentral lists this ribosomal RNA (855 nucleotides) under Halomonas sp. RNAcentral's name for it is "bacterial SSU rRNA". It matches the Rfam family "Bacterial small subunit ribosomal RNA", at positions 63 to 916 of the family's 1533-position model. The record is from RNAcentral. Lineage: Bacteria; Pseudomonadati; Pseudomonadota; Gammaproteobacteria; Oceanospirillales; Halomonadaceae.